Molecule: ribosomal RNA, 278 nt
Filed under: uncultured bacterium
Lineage: Bacteria
Description: partial 16S ribosomal RNA
Rfam family: Bacterial small subunit ribosomal RNA
Source: RNAcentral
ACUCCUACGGGAGGCAGCAGUGGGGAAUAUUGCACAAUGGGCGCAAGCCUGAUGCAGCCAUGCCGCGUGUGUGAAGAAGGCCUUCGGGUUGUAAAGCACUUUCAGUCGUGAGGAAGGUGUAGUGUUAAUUAAGCACUAUCAUUUUGACGUUAGCGACAGAAGAAGCACCGGCUAACUCCGUGCCAGCAGCCGCGGUAAUACGGAGGGUGCGAGCGUUAAUCGGAAUUACUGGGCGUAAAGCGCAUGCAGGUGGUUUGUUAAGUCAGAUGUGAAAGCCC